CUUGUUCUCUCUUCUCUCCUCUCUCUCUCUGCUCCCGACUCCCCACUCCCCACUCUCUCCUUCUUCCUUCUUUCUAAUCAUGGCUGAGGAAACCCAGAAGCCUGCUGCUGCCGAACCGCCGCCUUCUUCUCAGCCUGUCCCGGAAGAGCCUGCUGUUGUUCCGCCUCCUGCCCCUGAGAAGGAACUACCUGACCCUGCUCCUGCUCCUGCCAACCCUGAUUCGGUGGAGGAAGUUGCAGAGGCCGAGAAGCCCAAGGCGGCCGACGACUUUGAGAAGAUCUCUCAGUCGGUUUCUUUCAAGGAGGAGACCAACGUUGUUUCUGAGCUUCCGGAGUCGCAGAGGAAGGCGCUGGCCGAUCUUAAGCUUCUGAUUCAGGAAGCUCUCAAUAACCACGACUUCACUGCCCCUCUACCCCCUCCCCCGGCCAAGGAAGAAGAGAAGCCGACCGAGGAAAAGAAGGAAGACUCUGACAAACCUGCCGAAGACCCUAAAAUCGAACAGGAAUCCGAAGCUGUACCCCAGGAACAACCUCUCAAGGAAGCUGUGGUCGAAGAGCCUCCCAAAUCCCAACCAGAACCAGAACCAGAGACUGUGACCGUCACGGUCACGGUGGAAGAUACAAUCACUCCUAAUCCCGCGCCCGAGACUUCCUUGGCUCCAAAACCCGAAGAGAAGGCGGAAGAGACGUCGAAGGUGGUGGAAAAAGU
RNAcentral lists this long non-coding RNA (708 nucleotides) under Cucumis sativus (cucumber). RNAcentral describes it as "long non-coding RNA (CSAT_LNC002152)". Lineage: Eukaryota; Viridiplantae; Streptophyta; Magnoliopsida; Cucurbitales; Cucurbitaceae. The record is from RNAcentral.